GACGAACGCUGGCGGCGUGCCUAAUACAUGCAAGUUGAGCGAUGAAGAUUGGUGCUUGCACCAAUUUGAAGAGCAGCGAACGGGUGAGUAACGCGUGGGGAAUCUGCCUUUGAGCGGGGGACAACAUUUGGAAACGAAUGCUAAUACCGCAUAACAACUUUAAACAUAAGUUUUAAGUUUGAAAGAUGCAAUUGCAUCACUCAAAGAUGAUCCCGCGUUGUAUUAGCUAGUUGGUGAGGUAAAGGCUCACCAAGGCGAUGAUACAUAGCCGACCUGAGAGGGUGAUCGGCCACAGUGGGACUGAGACACGGCCCAAACCCCUACGGGAGGCAGCAGGAGGGAAUCUUCGGCAAGAGACGAAAGUCUGACCGAGCAACGCCGGGUGAGUGAAGAAGGUUUUCGGAUCGGAAAACUCUGUUGGUAGAGAAGAACGUUGGUGAGAGUGGAAAGCUCAUCAAGUGACGGUAACUACACAGAAAGGGACGGCUAACUACGUG
RNAcentral lists this ribosomal RNA (497 nucleotides) under uncultured bacterium. RNAcentral's name for it is "partial 16S ribosomal RNA". It matches the Rfam family "Bacterial small subunit ribosomal RNA", at positions 28 to 507 of the family's 1533-position model. The record is from RNAcentral.